UAAAUAGCAUUUAGUGAUACGGUUACCAC
Molecule: small RNA, 29 nt
Filed under: Bombyx mori (domestic silkworm)
Lineage: Eukaryota; Metazoa; Arthropoda; Insecta; Lepidoptera; Bombycidae
Description: ovarian small RNA-18441
Source: RNAcentral